AAUCAACGCUGGCGGCGUGCCUCAGACAUGCAAGUCGAACGCGAAAGGUUCCUUCGGGGACCGAGUAGAGUGGCGUCCGGGUGAGUAACACGUGGGUAAUCUACCUUCGGGUGGGGAAGUAACGACCGGAACGGUCGCUAAUACCGCAUAAUGCAGCGGCACCUAAUGGUGACAGUUGUUAAAGCUGGGGAUCGCAAGACCUAGCGCUUGAAGAGGGGCCCGCGCCUGAUUAGCUAGNGGUGGGGUAAUGGCUCACCAAGGCAACGAUCAGUAUCCGGCCUGAGAGGGCGGACGGACACACUGGAACUGAGACACGGUCCAGACUCCUACGGGAGGCAGCAGUGGGGAAUAUUGGGCAAUGGGCGCAAGCCUGACCCAGCCAUGCCGCGUGAGUGAUGAAGGCC
Molecule: ribosomal RNA, 404 nt
Filed under: uncultured bacterium
Lineage: Bacteria
Description: bacterial SSU rRNA
Rfam family: Bacterial small subunit ribosomal RNA
Source: RNAcentral